UUAUGUUCCUACUUUAUUGUCCUUAAAAAUAUCCUAGUGAGCUAUGUGGAAAACAGUGAAAAUCUUCAGUAACAAAAUUUAGUUGUUUUCCCCAAUUUUGAAACCUGCAUAAUGCUAAUUUAGUUGCUUUUUAAAAAGAAUUUAAAAAUUAAUUCUCUGCCUAGUUCCUAAUCUUCAUGAUAAAAUCUAAUUGUUCAUUUGUAUUUCUCCCACAGCCUUACUGUCUGCUACGGCUCUGAAUUAUCUGCUAUCUUUAGUUGCCAUCGUCUUAUUCUUUGUCUACUAUACUCAUCCAGCUAGUUGUUCAGAAAAUAAGGCAUUCAUCAGUGUCAACAUGCUCCUCUGCAUUGGCGCUUCCGUGAUGUCUAUACUGCCAAAAAUCCAAGAGUCACAACCAAGAUCUGGUUUGUUACAGUCUUCAGUGAUUACAGUCUAUACAAUGUACUUGACAUGGUCUGCUAUGACCAACGAGCCAG
Molecule: long non-coding RNA, 476 nt
Organism: Dipodomys ordii (Ord's kangaroo rat)
Lineage: Eukaryota; Metazoa; Chordata; Mammalia; Rodentia; Heteromyidae
Exons: 2
Source: RefSeq, a predicted model, not a curated record